Molecule: long non-coding RNA, 1093 nt
Organism: Lates calcarifer (barramundi perch)
Lineage: Eukaryota; Metazoa; Chordata; Actinopteri; Centropomidae
Exons: 3
Source: RefSeq, a predicted model, not a curated record
UUUGAUUUCAUCCCUUCUAUAGAACUCUGUCCAUUUGGAUUUGGUGGCUGUGCAUCUACAGUAACUGCUACAAAGUCAAUGAAUAGCUCACCCUCACAUAUUUGAUGCAGCAUUUCAAUCUUCUUUUCUUACUCUGUGCAGCUCACUGAUUUUUGUGGGUUUGGAGACAUAACAUCUUUCAGUAGAAGUUUAUAACAGCAGCUGUGCUUGUCUUCUUCAGGUGAUUGCUGCCAGACACCUUCCUGAUCCCAUUUGUUAAGAUGGAGCUGUGUGGACACACAGAGGAGACGUUCAAGGUGCAAGAAUGUGUCAGGAAACAGGAACCUGGAUGUAAUUGCAGAUGGAUUCAUCAAGUGCACGACUGCAAGGAUCAACACUUUCCUCAUAAAGAAGUAACAUCAGUGGUGAUUGCUGCCAGACACCUUCCUGAUCCCAUUUGUUAAGAUGGAGCUGUGUGGACACACAGAAGAGACGUUCAAGGUGCAAGAAUGUGUCAGGAAACAGGAACCUGGAUGUAAUUGUAGAUGGAUUCAUCAAGUGCACGACUGCAAGGAUCAACACUUUCCUCAUAAAUAAGUAACAUCAGUGGUAUUUCUUCCUCUGGAGCUGUAGAGUCUGAUCUGUGAUGACAAGUCUCCUGCUGCUCCUACAACUCCACUCAACACCUGCUGCUAGAAUUAGAAAUUACUUAUACUGCUAUUAGUUGUAUUGCUGUGUUAGUAGUUAAUACUUUAAUUAUCACUACUAUCAUUACUACUGCUGUAUUACUGGCCUCAUCUUACAUCUGAUAUGGAACCUGUGUUAUGCUAUGUUCUUCUUUCGCUAUUCUCUACCCCCCCCCCCCCUUUCUCCUUCUUAACCCAACCGGUAGAGACAGAUGGCUGCCCACCCUGAGUCCGGUUCUGCUCGAGGUUUCUGCCUCUUAAAAGGAAGUUUUUCCUUGCCACUGUCGCCUAGUGCUGCUCAUGGUGGGAUUUGUUGGGUCUCUCUCUGUAAAUACCUAUUUUAAAGAGUACGGUCUAGACCUGUUCUAUAUGAAAAGUGCCUUGAGAUGACUGUUGUUGUGAUACGGCGCUAUAUAAAUAAAAUUGAA